This 76-nucleotide transfer RNA is filed under the name Rubrivivax sp. Its description in RNAcentral is "tRNA-Thr". It matches the Rfam family "tRNA". From Rfam's summary of the family: Transfer RNA (tRNA) molecules are approximately 80 nucleotides in length. Their secondary structure includes four short double-helical elements and three loops (D, anti-codon, and T loops). RNAcentral also lists the same sequence under 5 other names. The record is from RNAcentral. Lineage: Bacteria; Pseudomonadati; Pseudomonadota; Betaproteobacteria; Burkholderiales; Sphaerotilaceae.
GCCGGCUUAGCUCAGUUGGUAGAGCACCCGCCUUGUAAGCGGAAGGUCGUCCGUUCGAUCCGGACAGCCGGCACCA